GAUGAACGCUAGCGGCAGGCCUAAUACAUGCAAGUCGAACGGGACUGGGUAGCAAUACCUAGUCUAGUGGCGCACGGGUGCGUAACGCGUAUGCAACCUACCUUCUAUUGGGGGAUAGCCUUCCGAAAGGAAGAUUAAUACCGCAUAAUAUCCUUUGAGGGCAUCUGAAGAGGAUUAAAGCUACGGCGAUAGAAGAUGGGCAUGCGUGACAUUAGCUAGUUGGUUGAGGUAACGGCUCACCAAGGCGACGAUGUCUAGGGGUUCUGAGAGGAUGAUCCCCCACACUGGUACUGAGAUACGGACCAGACUCCUACGGGAGGCAGCAGUAGGGAAUAUUGGGCAAUGGACGCAAGUCUGACCCAGCCAUGCCGCGUGCAGGAUGAAGGCCUUCUGGGUUGUAAACUGCUUUUAUCUAGGAAGAAAAUACUCUUGCGAGAGGAACUGACGUUACCGACAGAAUAAGCACCGGCUAACUUCGUGCCAGCAGCCGCAGUAA
Molecule: ribosomal RNA, 496 nt
Filed under: uncultured bacterium
Lineage: Bacteria
Description: partial 16S ribosomal RNA
Rfam family: Bacterial small subunit ribosomal RNA
Source: RNAcentral